RNAcentral lists this long non-coding RNA (556 nucleotides) under Sus scrofa (pig). RNAcentral's name for it is "lncRNA (ENSSSCG00070027244.1)". The record is from RNAcentral. Lineage: Eukaryota; Metazoa; Chordata; Mammalia; Artiodactyla; Suidae.
UACGCUCAGAGUCCCCAUCUGGUUUCAACCUGCCUCUUCCCCUCUGCCCCCCCCAUCUUCCCUGAAUUCCAGCCUCCAGGGUGGUACCCAUGUUCCGGGACCCACUUCUGAGUGCCAGCCGGAGCCCAUGCAAGGACCUCUCCUUGGUAUGCCCUUCUUCUCCCUUCUUCUGGUCCUAUCGUGACAGGUGACUUAGACUGGCACACGUGACGCCCACACCUCCCACAGGAGCCCAAACAGACGGAGACAGUUGGCCGGACUGGCAAGGAGUGCUGCUGUGGGUGGCGCCCAGGGGUGUCGCUACAUCCUGCUGUGUCCAGGACAGCCCCACAACGAGGAAUUGUCAGCCCCAAAGGUCAGUCGUGCUGAGAUGGAGGAACCCCGCCCCAAAGGCUUACCCCCAUGGACAAGCAUCACAGCAAAUCUGGGAAGCUCCUUAGACAUGUAGACUCCUGGGCCCCACCCCAGACCAUGUACAUCAGACUCUGCGUUUGAGCAGCGCCCCCCAGAGGAGUUCUGUGUUCGUUUGAGACCCAGACUGCACAGUGAGGUAGCC